Molecule: ribosomal RNA, 331 nt
Filed under: uncultured eukaryote
Lineage: Eukaryota
Description: partial 18S ribosomal RNA
Rfam family: Eukaryotic small subunit ribosomal RNA
Source: RNAcentral
CCCUUAGAUGUUCUGGGCAGCACGCGCUACACUGAAGGAAUCAACGUGUAUUUGCCCUUGCCCGAAAGGGUUGGGUAACCCGUUGAACCUCCUUCGUGCUAGGGAUUGGGGCUUGUAAUUAUUCCCCAUGAACGAGGAAUUCCCAGUAAGCGCGAGUCAUAAGCUCGCGUUGAUUACGUCCCUGCCCUUUGUACACACCGCCCGUCGCUACUACCGAUUGAAUGGUUUAGUGAGAUCCUCGGACUGGUCCCGCCACGGGAGGAAACUUUCGAGGCGGAGUGCCGAGAAGACGAUCAAACUUGAUCAUUUAGAGGAAGUAAAAGUCGUAACA